AUGAUCUGUUGAUAACAAAUUAAAGCCACUGUACCAAGCCAUUAGUUCACUUUGUUACUUCCAGCUUUCCAGUUAUCAAAAAAAUGGAGUAAGGUCUUGAAGACUAAGACCUGGGAUGGGUAACUUCUGCUGAGCUGACAGUCUGGUACAGCAGGAGACCCAGAUGUCAGGUGGGACUGAAGAAACUGGACAACUUGUGGAUAGAAUGAGGGCCUCGUGGAUAAAUUUGAGGAUAAGAAAAAAAAAUACUGUGAAUGUGUACAUUAUCUACUAUAUAUAUACGUAAAAGACAAAGUGUGCAAAUUAUGGAUACAUUUAUAGAAAUUGCUAAAAAUGGUAAUGUAGAUCUAUAUUUAUUGAAACGGAAAGAUGCAGAAGAUGGAUUUCUGUGUGAAAAAUAGUUCAUUUAAAAAACUAUAUUCUCUGUGAAUUUGAAGACUCUGCAUUCCAAGUACUGUUGAAUUUCUCUGAGUGCUGAAUACAGUUAAUUUUUAUGCUCUUUUAUUUACCUUUUUAUGGAAACUAAAUUUUUUUUUUACAAUGAGAAGUCAAUAUUUUACCAUCGCAAACAGCAAUAAAACUCUUCCGUUAUAAUAAGAGGGAGUGCAGGUUGCAGAGGGGAGGCGAGGAUGGUGGCAGUUGCUGGAUGCAGGAAGGGACCAAACAGAGCAAGUGUGAGAAGGUGUUGCAUGGAAAGCAAGGCAUUAGCCCAGGGCCGUAGAAGAAAGAGAAAUGAGAGAGGGGCGGCAAGAAUGGCUAAGGACUUUUCUUCUAUUGCCAGUUUCUUCUGUACUUUUGCCCAGAUCAAUAGAGGAAGUCAAAAGAAAAACAAAAAUGAAAACAUGCAAAUGGCAACUUUAGGUGGUAACAUUUCAUUCAGCUUCUCUGCCUUCUCUGGACUAGUGGAUGGAGUGGAAAUUUAUGGGCUCCCAGUUCCUAUCAUGAGCAGCUGGAGAUCUCAACUUCAUCUUGGAGCCCUACCUCACAAGAGCAUUUCAAGUUCUCAAGGCGUGUCCCAUGGCUGGAAUGAUGUGCUUCACAGAGAAAGGUAAAAUUUCUCCAAGUCUAACUUUUCUUUUAGGGUUUAAAAAAAACCACCUUUUGCGUUUUCUCUCUCUCUCUUUCUCUCAGUCUUUCAGAGUGCAUGGAUACCAACAUAAUUUUAAAAAGUGGAUCAUACGUAAAGUUUAAGGAAGGAUUCUGUUCACUGACAACCACGAGUUCACGAGGCGAUACUUUUUACUAAAUUAAACAAUUGCUUUGACAUAUGGAUACAAGUAAAUGAAUAAUGCUUGUCCAUUCAUUUCGUUAGCCAUUCAACAAGCAAUAAUUUAUGGAGCGACUUCUAUGUAAAAGGCGUGGCUCUGGGCUAAGAACACACAAUGGUGGAUUAAUAGACACACUCGCAGCCCUUAAAGACUCGACAGCCUAGUGAGAUAAAUAGUCUAAAAUGAGAGCAUGGACAAAUAUUUACACCGUAUUAUUUUAUAUUAAGUUACAAGAGGAAAUGACUGGGGUUCUGAUGCCAAAGUAGGAAAAAAAUAUUUUUGUCUCCACUGUCUUCAUAUUGUUUGAUCUCCUCUUUCUUAUUUAUUUAAAUAGCCUCCAAUUUCUUUUGUGUUACUUUCAAAAUUCCUAGUACAUUGUUCUGUACUGAGUAGGUAUGAUAAGUGCCUACUACCACAAAUAGAUAAUAUUUGUAGAGCAUUUUGGGUUUGUCAGUCACCAUAAAAGUGCUCCAUCUAUGUGUGACCUUAUGCUAAAGGCUUCAUAGAAUAAGAGCCAACAUGUAUUGGGUUCUUUUAAUGUGUCAGUGAUUUUCAUGUAGUAUUUAUUUAAUGUUCACAAUAUCCUUGUGCUAGUCAGGGUUCCCCAGAGAAAUAGAACCAAUAGGAUAUAGACACAGAUACAUCAAAGAGAUUUAUUAUAGGAAUGAGUUCACAGGAUUACACAAGCCGAGAAGUCCCAUGACCUGCUAUGUGCAAACUGGAGAACCAGAAAAGCUAGUGGUUCAAAAGCAUGCAAUGGGGGCACUGAUGUCUGAAGUCUCGCUGUGAGUCCAAAGACCCAAAGACCUGGAGUGCCGAUGUCCAAGGGCAGGAGAAAAAUGGAUGUUUCAGCUUAAGCAGAUAGAGCCAAGGCACACUUUCUCCACUUCGUUUGUUCUAACCAAGCCCUCAGUGGGUGGCCUGAUGCCGCCCCACAUCAAUGAAAGGGAUCUUCUUGAAAUCCCUUCUGAAAGGGAUUCAGUCUACAGAUUCGAUCACUCAUCUCUUCUGGAGAUACCCUCACAGAAAUAUCCAGAAAUUCUAUUAUGCCAGCUCUCUGGGCAUCCUUAAGCCCAGCAGAGUGACGCAGAAACUUACCCAUCACCACCCCUGUGAGGUAUUACUCUUAUUAUGGGUUAGGUCAAGUUUCCAUGUUCAAAUACCUGGAAUGCAUCUGGACUCAGAUAUGAUCCUAGCUGGUCUUACUCCAUGAUCUGCUUUCAUAACCACUGUGCUAGGGGGUUCAUAGCAACAUGAUCUAAAAAUACAUUAAACAUAAGAAUCCAUUGCAUAUAUAAAAGAAAAUACUAUUUGGGGAUUUUUUUUUCCAGUUAGUAAUACAUAUGGAACAGGUAUACAUGGGCAGAGUCCCAGUAAUACUCAUUUCUUAUGUGCAACAUGCUCAAAAUGCUUAAAAAGCCCUGCUACUAAACCACAGGAACCCACAGCACAUUAGUGUAUAGGAAUCCACUCUUGAUCUCAGAAGUAUCUGCUAUUUAAAAUAGGAUUUCAAAAGAAGGCGAUACAACUUUAAAAGUGGCUGCACCGGAGCCAGGAGGUGGGGGGUACAAAGAGAGAUCUCUUCGAGGGUAUAAACUUUCAGUUAUAAGAUGAAUAAGGUCUGAGGAUCUAAUGUAUAACAUACUGACUAUAGUUGAUAGCAUUGUCUUGUAUAAUUGAAAUUUGCUAGGAGAGUUGAAGAAUGUUCUCACACGCAAGAAAAAGAAUAAAUGGUUGAUGGAUGUGUUAAUUAACUCA
RNAcentral lists this long non-coding RNA (3026 nucleotides) under Sus scrofa (pig). RNAcentral's name for it is "lncRNA (ENSSSCG00030044715.1)". Lineage: Eukaryota; Metazoa; Chordata; Mammalia; Artiodactyla; Suidae. The record is from RNAcentral.